RNAcentral lists this ribozyme (206 nucleotides) under Anopheles gambiae (African malaria mosquito). RNAcentral's name for it is "drz-agam-2-2 ribozyme". It matches the Rfam family "drz-agam-2-2 ribozyme". Lineage: Eukaryota; Metazoa; Arthropoda; Insecta; Diptera; Culicidae. The record is from Rfam by way of RNAcentral.
AAAAUGUAUAGCUCCGUAAAUAUGUGGAACCAGUCCGAAUUGUACAAGCGCGUAACGUGUGUGUGUAGGCUCUCCCAUCCAACUCCUAUUCCGACACGUCCACGUUGUGCAGAGUGGUAACAUGUGCCUCCAUAUAUACUAGCUUGGGUACACGGGCUAGAUCCAACCCCUUGGGUGAAUGGUGGCACAUGGCGAACCAGGAGGGG